This 253-nucleotide ribosomal RNA is filed under the name uncultured bacterium. RNAcentral describes it as "partial 16S ribosomal RNA". It matches the Rfam family "Bacterial small subunit ribosomal RNA", at positions 524 to 776 of the family's 1533-position model. The record is from RNAcentral.
UACGUAGGGGCCGAGCGUUGUCCGGAGUUACUGGGCGUAAAGCGCGCGCAGGCGGCUCGUCAAGCCUGACGUGAAAGCCCCCGGCUCAACCGGGGAGGGUCGUCGGGGACUGGCGGGCUUGAGGUCGGCAGGGGUUGGUGGAAUUCCCGGUGUAGUGGUGAAAUGCGUAGAGAUCGGGAGGAACACCCGUGGCGAAGGCGGCCAACUGGGCCGGGCCUGACGCUGAGGCGCGAAGGCGUGGGGAGCGAACGGG